This is a non-coding RNA of Chlorocebus sabaeus (green monkey), 5447 nucleotides long. The record is from RefSeq and is a predicted model, not a curated record. Lineage: Eukaryota; Metazoa; Chordata; Mammalia; Primates; Cercopithecidae.
CAGUGUUUCACCAUGUUGGCCAGGCUAGUCCCAGACUGACCUCAAGUGAUCCACCCGCGUCAGCCACCCAAAGUUCUGGGAUUACAGGCACGAGCCACUGUGCCCAGCUAUUUCUACACGUUUUUAAUUAGAGAUGUUUUGUGCGUUUGUUUUUUGUGUUGUUAGAAUGUAUAUGUGACCUGCGGGAAUGAUCAUGACAAGAAUCUUUUGUAUGUGUUGAUCCUUCUGUAGCCAGAAGUGCGGUGCUGUAGAGGAGGCUUCUCUGUAACAGGUUCACCCAUCCGCACUGGCCCCAUCUACCGUCAGCCAAAGAGACGAGUUUGUCAGUGACUGGAUUCAGGGGCGUGGCCUGUGACUGGAAGCGACAGGCACAGGGAAAUAGCUCAUCGGAGACUGAGUCUGUUGUGCAGCUGUGUGGCUGCUCCAGCACUUUAAUUGGACUGAAUGUUUUCAGAAACAGUGUUUGAAGUCCUGGUUGAUCGUGCUGUAGGACAGCCUUUUUGCCACCUCUUGGAUGGUUCAGUAGGUUUUGCCCACAAGACCCUUAAAAGCUGGUGCUCUGGUACGGAUCAGCCCUUAGCCAGUUUCGUAAAUAUCUCAUCAAUUCCCUACAAAAGCAAGUCUGGGACAUGGAACAAGUGGUUUAAAGGGUCAGGAGUGAGAGGGAGGACAGAGGCCCUGUCUGAGCCUCUGAGUGUCCAGAAGCCCAUGGAGCAGCUUCUCUCUGGGACUUGCCAGCCAAGCCAGGCGGCAUCUUGAGUUCAGUGCUUAUUAGGGUAUGUGCCAUGUAUAAGUGUAGUGAUGGAAUUGAGUGGCACUGUCAGAAUGAGUAGGACGCAGGCUUCAGAAUCAGGCCCAGAGUCAAGUCCUGACUCUGUCCCUUGUUGGCUAACCUCUGAACCUCACUUUUCUCAGCUGGACAAUGGGGAUAGUAAAGGUUGUGAGUGAAUGAACUACUUCAUGUAAAGGACACAGCAUGUUUCCUUAAACACAGUAUAUCCUCUCAGUGGGUGCUGUCACUACUCUUACUGUCACCAGUAACAAUUUUGGGGCCAUGAGAAGCUUUAGACAUUCUACAAAGCAAAAGAAAACUGAGAUAGUGAAACAACCCAGACCACAUACCUAAUUAGGGACAAAAGCAGAACAGAGCUGUGACCGCCCCCCGCCCAGUCCAGUUCAGAAGUCUUCCUAUGCCAGCACUCCGGGGAGCAGAGGGAGGUGUGCUCUGCAGUUAUCACCCGGGCACAGGGGAGAGGCAGGGCCACCCCAUGAGAGUCGCAUGAUGCUCUACAAGCACCGUGGUAUUUCGGUUUGUGAUUGUAUUAGUUUGUUUUCACUCUGCUGAUAAAGAUAUCUGAGAUGGGGUAAUUUAUAAAGAAAAAGAAGUUUAAUGGACUCACAGUUCCACGUAGCUGGGGAGGCCUCACAAUCACCACAGAAGGCAAAAGGCAUGUCUUCCAUGGCGGCAGACAAGGGACAGGAGAGAAUUUGGGCAGGGAAACUCUCCUUUAUAAAACCAUCAGGUCUCAUGAGACCUAUUCACUAUCACAAGAACAGCACAGGAAAGACCCACACCCAUGAUUCAGUUACCUCCCACCGGGUUCCUCCCACAACACAUGGGAAUUGUGGGAGCUACAAUUCAAGAUGAGAUUUGGGUGAGGACACAGCCAAACCAUAUCAGUGAUCUUUAUUUUUCAGUCAAAACUGUCAGUUACUGUGAUCCAUUUAAGGCAAAGUUUGGCAAAUGUGAUGCAAUUAAAAGGUGUCCUUAGCACUGCAGCGGAGUCUUCAUUUCUGUUCUUGCCGUCAAUUACCCCAGGUCCUCGAGAGUUAGAACUUCUGGGGCUGGCUGUGCUGCUCAGGAAUUCAGCAGAGCAUCCAUCCCACGGGGGUUGGAGGUGGCCUUAGCUCUCUCAACUCUACAAGGACAAAGAAGCAAAGCUAAUGAUGGUGACUGAUGGUCCAUGUCAUGGAAGAGUCUGCAGUCAGUGGCAGGAAGGACUAACUAUAUAGAACCAUGACACCACAGCACUCAAGAUUGUAACUCCUUCCCUUGUGGAAGGAAAUUGGAGAUCAAUUAUUAUCCUCAUCCAAGGUGGCACAGAAUGUGGCCCUGUACACAGGCGACCCCAACCUGGGGCUGGAGCUGUUUAAGGCAGCUGGAAACAUCUUCUUCAAUGAGGCCUGGGAAUGGGAGAAAGUCGUGUCCUUCUACCGGGUGAGCUGGCCUGUGGCUGAUGUGGGUGGGCCUCGGGGGGGGCACCUGGAGGGCUGAGGCACAGGUGUGACAGGGCAGAGGCCUCCCACCUGGAGGCAGGGCCACCCAUGCCCAUGCUUAGUUUCCCAGUGGUCUCACAGGGAAUGAUACUGACCGUGCCCCCUGCCUGGGACAAACGCUUGGGGCCUGGACAUGGCAAUGGCCCUACCCUUGCCUGGUGGUCUCACCGGGAAUGAUAUCGAUCGUGCUCCUGCCCGGGACAAACGCUCGGGGCCUGGACAUGACAAUGGCUCUACCCUUGUACCUGAUGAUCUCAAGCAACCAUGAGCGGGAAGUCCUGUCCUCAUCUUCCAGAUGAGGACACUGAGGCUCAGAGAGGCACAGGGACAUGUCAAAGGACACACAGUAUGUCAGUGCGAGGCCCAGGGCCAGGGCCCAGGUCUGCCUGCACCCCGAAGCGGGGACGGCUUCUCCCUUCCUCUGAGCUCAUGGUGUGACUCAGCCCUGGGCACAGAUAAAUGUGUUUUUAGAGCAGAAAGGAGUGCUGGCUCCCCCCAGUCAGACCCCCGGUGCCCAGGUGGGAGAGGCUUUUCCGAGGCUGCCGGGUGUAGCUGGAUGGGCCUCAGGUGACUCUUCAGCCCCCAACUUGGGUGUUUGAACCGUGUGAAGGGGUGGCCUGCCCCUCCACACCCGUGGGUGUUUCUCGUUAGGUGGAACGAGAGACUUGAGAAAAAUAAUAAGACACAGAGACAAAGUAUAGAGAAAGAAAAGCGGGGGCCCAGGGAGGGGACCGGCACUCAGCUUACAGAGGACCCACGCCGGCGCCGGUCUCUGAGUUCCCUUAGUAUUUAUAGAUAAUUAUCUUUACCAUCUUAAAGAUAAGGGAGUGGCAGGACAAUAGGAUCGUUUUUAGGGAGGAAAUCAGCAGUAAGACAUAAGAACAAGGAUCUCUGUGACAUGAAUAAGUUUAAAGGAAAAUCCUGUGCCUUGAGAUAAACCUUUUAGCGGCAUUGUUUCAUCCUAUCACGUGGGGAUAAACCUUGGACAAUACCUAGCUUUUCUAGGAACAAAGACACACCCUGCACACCCAAAAUCCAUUAAACCUUGAGUUACCACAGCACAUGUCUCUUGCAAGGACAAGGUUGGGGGUAGGGUCACAGAUUAACAGCAUCUCAAAUACAGAACAAAAUGGAGUCUCUUAUGUCUACUUCUUUCUAUGUAGACACAGUAACAGGCUGAUCUCUUUCUUUUCCCCACACCGUGUGUUAUCCCAGAGCACAGAGCUGUGUCGAGGUCCAGGGGUAGCUGGGGCGUGGGAAGCUCCAAGCACAUCUUCGAGCUCUGAGGAGGGCGCUGGGCAAGGUGGGUGCUGCGGGAAGCCUGAUCCCACCUGCCUGUGUGGUGGGACUGGGCCCUGCCCCUGGCAGUGACUACAGGCAACUGCAAGGUGGAGCUGCGGCUGUGCAACAAGCUGGUGGCACUGCUGGCCACACUGGAGGAGCCCCAGGAGGGCUUGGAGGUUGCCCACAUGGCCCUAGCACUCAGCAUCACUCUGGGUAAGUCCCCUGAGCCCCCGCCCUGCCAGGACCCACACUUUGCCAGAGCCCAGCCUCCAGGUCUGCAGGCCAGGAGCUGAAACAGCUGCUGGAUUUUCCUGGUCUCCUGUCCAGGCAGGCAGAUCUGCCCAACUGGCUUCCCCGUCCGGCUGUGGGGCACAGCCUGAGGUCUCUCACACAGUGCAGAGCUCCCUGCCUGGCUGAGCUCUGCUUCCUCUGCCUCUUCCCGCUGCUGACCACAAGGGCUGCCCAGUGUGCCCUCUGCCUUCCAGACAUGCCAGGCAUCUUGUUGGUCCCUGUAUGUGCCAGGUUGAGUGGCACAUUCCCUUUCUCUUGUGCCCUUCCCACCCUCAUCAACCACAUGGCUCUCUGGCUGAUGAAAUCCCAGUUCCCCUUCCAGUAGCCUGCCCCUUAAGGCCGGGCAUCCCCUGGUGCUGUGCCAGGGUCGUCUGUCCUCCUCCAGAGAUAGGGAGCCCUGGGCAGACUGCAUGCCCCAGCGCCUUGUGUCCCGGGGCCCAGAACGCAGUAGGUGUGCAGCUGUGUGGGAAUGCAUCCAAUGCAGGCUCCACGGCACUCGCCCUGGAAAGGGGAGGACAUCGGAGACAGCCUGGGUGGGUUUGCGCAUCUGUGGGGGGACCUGGAGCUCAGGCACGCAGUGACUCCCCAAGGUAGGGGACUCUGAUCAUGACACACCCAGGAGGAGUCGGAUGUCACGUCUGUGGGUUGCCUGGAGCCGGGGCGCCCGGGAGCACCUAGACUGCAUGGCUUUUGGGCUCCCCUGGUUAAAACCGGUGAGCAAAGGCAGGUGGCUAUGUGUAGGCACAGAGCUGGGCCAUCCAAGUCCGACUUUGUCAAAGCCUCACAGUAGACAGGGGCAGGCCUUAUUAGUUCUGCUUUGCAGAUGGGAAAGUGAGUCUGGGAACCUGGAAGGGACUGGCCAGAGCUGCCCAGGUGACCACAGGUACCUGGAGGCAAGUCAGGUGCUGCCCGGGGUUUGCAUACCUGCUCCUGAGGGGCCUGUGCCCUGCCUGCCCCAGGGAGCCAUGUCUUCACACCUGCCCCUUUGGCCUGCACCCCAGGGGACCGGCUAAACGAGCACGUGGCCUACCACCGGCUGGCCGCACUGCACCACCGGCUGGGCCACGGCGAGCUGGCGGAGCACUUCCACCUCAAGGCCCUGUCGCUCUGCAACUCACCGCUGGAGUUCGACGAGGAGACCCUCUACUACGUGAAGGUGUAACUGGUGCUCGGUGACAUCAUAUUCUACGACCUGAAGGACCCGUUUGAUGCAGCCGGGUACUACCAGCUGGCACUGGCAGCCACCAUGGACCUGGGCAACAAGAAGGCACAGCUGAAGAUCUACACGUGGCCGGCCACCAUCUACCACAACUUCCUCCUGGACCGCGAGAAGUCGCUCCUCUUCUACCAGAAGGCCAGGACCUUCGCCACAGAGCUCAAUGUCCGCAAGGUCAACCUGCCUCCUCUGCCACUCUGCGGGUGGGCCCCCUGGUCGCCCCCAGCCACCCUCGGUGAGGACAGCAUCCGAGGGAGUGGGUUUUAUGCAAGGAGGAUGGUCUCCUGCCUCUCCUGGUGUCUCCCGUGGCUUAUUUUCUGGGAAAUGGAGGCAUGAAAGCAGGGUUCAAAUAGCAAUAAAUUUUUUUUUGUUUUUUGGG